UCCCUGGUAGUACAUUGGUUAGUACACCCGCUUAUCAUGAAUGCAACUGAAGUUGCGCGCGUGAAAUUUGGGUUAGACUCCCAGCCAGGGAA
Paramarasmius palmivorus is the source of this 92-nucleotide non-coding RNA. The record is from the annotation of a GenBank genome assembly. Lineage: Eukaryota; Fungi; Basidiomycota; Agaricomycetes; Agaricales; Marasmiaceae.